Molecule: ribosomal RNA, 460 nt
Filed under: uncultured bacterium
Lineage: Bacteria
Description: partial 16S ribosomal RNA
Rfam family: Bacterial small subunit ribosomal RNA
Source: RNAcentral
CCUACGGGUGGCAGCAGUGAGGAAUAUUGGUCAAUGGACGAGAGUCUGAACCAGCCAAGUAGCGUGAAGGAAGACUGCCCUAUGGGUUGUAAACUUCUUUUAUAAAGGAAUAAAACGCGGCACGUGUGCCUUUUUGCGUGUACUUUAUGAAUAAGCAUCGGCUAACUCCGUGCCAGCAGCCGCGGUAAUACGGAGGAUCCGAGCGUUAUCCGGAUUUAUUGGGUUUAAAGGGAGCGUAGAUGGGUUGUUAAGUCAGUUGUGAACGUUUGCGGCUCAACCGUAAAAUUGCAUUUGAUACUGGCAGACUUGAGUACAGUAGAGGUACGCGGAAUGCGUGGUGUAGCGGUGAAAUGCAUAGAUAUCACGAAGAACCCCGAUUGCGAAGGCAGCUUACCAAACUGUGACUGACAUUGAGGCUCGAAAGUGUGGGUAUCAAACAGGAUUAGAUACCCUGGUAGUC